Molecule: long non-coding RNA, 959 nt
Organism: Frankliniella occidentalis (western flower thrips)
Lineage: Eukaryota; Metazoa; Arthropoda; Insecta; Thysanoptera; Thripidae
Exons: 2
Source: RefSeq, a predicted model, not a curated record
UAAAAUUCCCCAGACUACCAAAGCCAUGACGGCACCCCUAUUUUUACCAAGAAUAUUUGUUAUUUGUAUAUCUUAUCUAUUUGCCAAGAAAACGCGCAAUUCACCAAGACUGUAAAAUAAUCAGAUUUUGAGGGUAGAGAGAGAACCCUACAAAUACAAGUGUGUGACGUUUGAACACUCAGAAGUGCGUACAACCUUCACAAAAAUGUGUGACAAUUGUGGCAUGCAUAGAAAAUAUGAUAGCCAUAUCAUUCACAGAAAUUGUGUUGCAUAUAGUUAAAGGACCCAUAGAGUAUUCUGGCGCACGGGAAAAGGCGAAUUAGUUGGAUUCUGCGUGAUAUUGCUGCUGUUUUGCCGCUCAUAAUAAAUGAAGGAACAAAUUCUCAUAACAAACUACAGAUAUCAUAGCAAUUCGGGUGAAUAAGUUUGUGAAACCGUUUCUUUUGCCGUGAGUCUCCCCCGCUCCCUGGACGCACGGUGUUUCGAUGGUAUAUCAGACCUGGCUGCGGGUGGCGCUCGCCAUUAGCGAUCCAGGCGUCGGUGCGGACGGGAGCAGCCAGGACCCCCUGAUACCUCGUCGUCAGAGACACUCAACAUGGCCGUGGCGAGGAUUCUGUCGUUACUGCUGCUGCUGGUCCUCGCGGUGGCGCUGGCCAUCCCGCUGCCACAGGUGGGGCACGCUGGCCACGGGCACCAUAUAACGCCUCAUCACGCGGGUCGCCCUGCUGCGGCCCGGCCCGCCCCCCAGCGCACUUCUGGUUUCAAGCGCCUGCGGUCGUAGACAUGACUGCAUAUUACAUUGAUAGGGCUUUUUGUCUGAGAGCGACUGUUGCGACGAUCCUGUUUUAAUCGACCGUGCACUCAUUUAUUAUGUUGCCGGUGUUUCCUGUGAUUUUUAAUGUACGUGUAGUGUGAUAUUUCUAAAAUUAUUUAUUAUAAAAAUUACGAAAAAAACUGUU